This 119-nucleotide ribosomal RNA is filed under the name uncultured Methanothermobacter sp. RNAcentral's name for it is "partial 16S ribosomal RNA". Lineage: Archaea; Methanobacteriati; Methanobacteriota; Methanobacteria; Methanobacteriales; Methanobacteriaceae. The record is from RNAcentral.
UCCCUACGGGGUGCACCAGGAGCGAAACCUCCGCAACGCACGCAACUGCGACGGGGGGACCCCAAGUGCCACUCUUAACGGGGUGGCUUCAUGAGGAAAAAGCUCUAGCAACGUAUUCA